GACGAACGCUGGCGGCGUGCUUAACACAUGCAAGUCGAACGGAAAGGCCCUGCUUUUGUGGGGUGCUCGAGUGGCGAACGGGUGAGUAACACGUGAGUAACCUGCCCUUGACUUUGGGAUAACUUCAGGAAACUGGGGCUAAUACCGGAUAGGAGCUCCUGCUGCAUGGUGGGGGUUGGAAAGUUUCGGCGGUUGGGGAUGGACUCGCGGCUUAUCAGCUUGUUGGUGGGGUGGUGGCUUACCAAGGCUUUGACGGGUAGCCGGCCUGGGAGGGUGACCGGCCACAUUGGGACUGAGAUACGGCCCAGACUCCUACGGGAGGCAGCAGUGGGGAAUAUUGCACAAUGGGCGGAAGCCUGAUGCAGCAACGCCGCGUGCGGGAUGACGGCCUUCGGGUUGUAAACCGCUUUCGCCUGUGACGAAGCGUGAGUGACGGUAAUGGGUAAAGAAGCACCGGCUAACUACGUG
RNAcentral lists this ribosomal RNA (468 nucleotides) under uncultured bacterium. RNAcentral describes it as "partial 16S ribosomal RNA". It matches the Rfam family "Bacterial small subunit ribosomal RNA", at positions 28 to 507 of the family's 1533-position model. The record is from RNAcentral.